AACGAACGCUGGCGGCAGGCUUAACACAUGCAAGUCGAACGCACCGCAAGGUGAGUGGCAGACGGGUGAGUAACGCGUGGGAAUCUACCCAGAACUUCGGAACAACUGAGGGAAACUUCAGCUAAUACCGGAUACGCCCUACGGGGAAAGAUUUAUCGGUUCUGGAUGAGCCCGCGUUGGAUUAGCUAGUUGGUGAGGUAAUGGCUCACCAAGGCGACGAUCCAUAGCUGGUCNGAGAGGAUGAUCAGCCACACUGGGACUGAGACACGGCCCAGACUCCUACGGGAGGCAGCAGUGGGGAAUAUUGGACAAUGGGCGAAAGCCUGAUCCAGCCAUGCCGCGU
This 343-nucleotide ribosomal RNA is filed under the name uncultured bacterium. RNAcentral describes it as "bacterial SSU rRNA". It matches the Rfam family "Bacterial small subunit ribosomal RNA", at positions 29 to 402 of the family's 1533-position model. The record is from RNAcentral.